AAAUGCGAUACGUAGUGUGAAUUGCAGAAUUCCGCGAAUCAUCGAGUCUUUGAACGCAACUUGCGCCCGAGGCUUGUCCGAGGGCAUUUCCGCCAGAGCGUCAACGCG
This 108-nucleotide ribosomal RNA is filed under the name Mniodendron comosum. RNAcentral's name for it is "partial 5.8S ribosomal RNA". It matches the Rfam family "5.8S ribosomal RNA", at positions 51 to 154 of the family's 154-position model. Rfam says of the family: 5.8S ribosomal RNA (5.8S rRNA) is a component of the large subunit of the eukaryotic ribosome. It is transcribed by RNA polymerase I as part of the 45S precursor that also contains 18S and 28S rRNA. Functionally, it is thought that 5.8S rRNA may be involved in ribosome translocation. The record is from RNAcentral. Lineage: Eukaryota; Viridiplantae; Streptophyta; Bryopsida; Hypnodendrales; Spiridentaceae.